Molecule: unclassified non-coding RNA, 351 nt
Filed under: Carassea connexa
Lineage: Eukaryota; Fungi; Ascomycota; Lecanoromycetes; Lecanorales; Cladoniaceae
Description: partial 28S-18S ribosomal RNA intergenic spacer
Source: RNAcentral
ACCGAAGCCCGUAACCGCCUCUGGGCGUGACUGGGUGGCUGGUAUCUUCCUUCUGAGGGAUGUAUGACGCAGUGUGGGCCGGCUUCAGGGUCGCGAAUCCCCAUGUCUGCGGCGGACCAUCCCUUGGGCAACUCAGUGGGGGCAAUUGGAUGGCCUGUGAUCAUCUCUGGCGGCUUCGGCCCUGGAGGUUACGCAGGCUGGAUGCUGGGCUUAGGUCCACGUCCCAAACCUCUUAACUAACACUACCUCUCCUUGAGGUUCUCCGGUGGCCUCUCGUCCUUCGGGGCGAGUGGCUUCCCGGUUAAGAUAGUUACCUGGUUGAUUCUGCCAGUAGUCAUAUGCUUGUCUCAA